AGCGAACGCUGGCGGCAGGCUUAACACAUGCAAGUCGAGCGCCGUAGCAAUACGGAGCGGCAGACGGGAGAGUAACACGUGGGAACGUGCCCUUUGGUUCGGAACAACCCAGGGAAACUUGGGCUAAUACCGGAUAAGCCCUUACGGGGAAAGAUUUAUCGCCGAAGGAUCGGCCCGCGUCUGAUUAGCUAGUUGGUGGGGUAAUGGCCCACCAAGGCGACGAUCAGUAGCUGGUCUGAGAGGGUGAUCAGCCUCACUGGGACUGAGACACGGCCCAGACUCCUGCGGGAGGCAGCAGUGGGGAAUAUUGGACAAUGGGCGCAAGCCUGAUCCAGCCAUGCCGCGUGGGAGAUGAAGGCCCUAGGGUUGUAAAGCCCUUUCGGCGGGGAAGAUAAUGACGGUACCCGCAGAAGAAGCCCCGGCUAACUUCGUGCCAGCCGCCGCCGUAA
RNAcentral lists this ribosomal RNA (449 nucleotides) under uncultured bacterium. RNAcentral describes it as "partial 16S ribosomal RNA". It matches the Rfam family "Bacterial small subunit ribosomal RNA", at positions 29 to 523 of the family's 1533-position model. The record is from RNAcentral.